RNAcentral lists this transfer RNA (75 nucleotides) under marine sediment metagenome. RNAcentral describes it as "tRNA-Met". It matches the Rfam family "tRNA". From Rfam's summary of the family: Transfer RNA (tRNA) molecules are approximately 80 nucleotides in length. The record is from RNAcentral.
AGCGCGGUAGAGCAGUCCGGUCAGCUUGCCAGGCUCAUAACCUGGACGUCACAGGUUCGAAUCCUGUUCGCGCUA